Molecule: ribosomal RNA, 119 nt
Filed under: Salmo salar (Atlantic salmon)
Lineage: Eukaryota; Metazoa; Chordata; Actinopteri; Salmoniformes; Salmonidae
Source: RNAcentral
GCUUACGGCCAUAUCAGCCUGGGUACGCCCGAUCUCGUCUGAUCUCGGAAGCUAAGCACGGUCGGGCCUGGUUAGUACUUGGAUGGGAGACCGCCUGGGAAUACCAGGUGCUGUAAGCA